Molecule: non-coding RNA, 623 nt
Filed under: unclassified sequences
Description: ROOL RNA
Rfam family: ROOL RNA
About the family: Firmicutes, Fusobacteria (1 example), Tenericutes (1 example). Environment (Cow rumen (57))
Source: Rfam by way of RNAcentral
GCCAGCUGGGAGCCGUGCCGGGACCUCGGUGAACAAAGAGAACACCAUCCCUCCGAGGACCGGACGCAUUCCGUGGUCUGUCCGUGCGGAUACGCACGGGUACGCCAUCUGCGACAUGCGCGAGCAUGCCGCGGGAAGGACGGAGCAGGAACCGCCCGUCCAACGGACGGUCCGGGUCGCCCGGGCACGGAGAAGGACAACGCACGGUGAUGCCGUGCCCACCGCAAUACGAAGGGGUGCUGAACAGGCUCCCCCGAAACCCGCAAACCAGGCCGCAUGAGAACGCGGUGCUGUAAGGCGGGAACCUCACCCACGGUGGGCGGCGCACACGGCGCCCCGGAAACGGGACGUAUAAACGGCAAGCCGGUCCAAGUAGCCAAAGCGUGCGUACUUCAAACAUUUGAUAAGUGGUCCAUGUGAGAACAACAGGGAAACUUUCUUAGCUGAAUGGCUGGUGAACGAUGCGGGUAUGAAAAAUCCCCGUCAGAGCAAGGCAUCCUCCGGGGUGCGGCUCCCAUAGUCGAGGGCGACGGCCCGAAGGCUCAGGUCGGAGUCCUCUGUGGCGGAACGUCCGCGUCCAUGCACCGGGUAGGGCGAAGGUCCCCCGGCACGGCUCCCAGCUG